RNAcentral lists this ribosomal RNA (356 nucleotides) under uncultured Glomeraceae. RNAcentral's name for it is "SSU rRNA". It matches the Rfam family "Eukaryotic small subunit ribosomal RNA", at positions 569 to 929 of the family's 1831-position model. The record is from RNAcentral. Lineage: Eukaryota; Fungi; Glomeromycota; Glomeromycetes; Glomerales; Glomeraceae.
AGCAGCCGCGGUAAUUCCAGCUCCAAUAGCGUAUAUUAAAGUUGUUGCAGUUAAAAAGCUCGUAGUUGAAUUUCGGGAUCAGCGCGUCGGUCGUGCCUCCGGUAUGCACUGGCGCCGCUGGCUUCUCCCUUCUGAGGAACCGUGAUGUCAUUAAUUUGGUGUUGCGGGAAAUCAGGACUGUUACUUUGAAAAAAUUAGAGUGUUUAAAGCGGGCACGCGCUUGAAUACAUUAGCAUGGAAUAACGAAAUAGGACGUUCGAUCUUAUUUUGUUGGUUUCUAGGAUUGACGUAAUGAUUAAUAGGGAUAGUUGGGGGCAUUAGUAUUCAAUUGUCAGAGGUGAAAUUCUUGGAUUUAU